GGAUGCGAUCAUACCAGCACUAAAGCACCGAAUCCCAUCAGAACUCCGAAGUUAAGCGUGCUUGGUGAGAGUAGUACUAGGAUGGGUGACCUCCUGGGAAGUCCUCGUGUUGCAUUCC
Triticum aestivum (bread wheat) is the source of this 118-nucleotide non-coding RNA. The record is from Rfam. Lineage: Eukaryota; Viridiplantae; Streptophyta; Magnoliopsida; Poales; Poaceae.